UUGCCACAUACGAUGAUGAUAAUACAGUUCAGCAGACAAAAACUGAUUAGCAAUAUUAAGUGUUUCACUCCUUUCUGAUGUAGAAC
Small nucleolar RNA from Nomascus leucogenys (northern white-cheeked gibbon), 86 nucleotides. Lineage: Eukaryota; Metazoa; Chordata; Mammalia; Primates; Hylobatidae. The record is from Ensembl.